CCAAUCGAACUUGGAGAUAGCUGGUUCUCUCCGAAAUAGCUUUAGGGCUAGCCUCAAGUGAUGAUUAUUGGAGGUAGAGCACUGUUUGGACGAGGGGCCCCUCUCGGGUUACCGAAUUCAGACAAACUCCGAAUGCCAAAUAAUUUAACUUGGGAGUCAGAACAUGGGUGAUAAGGUCCGUGUUCGAAAGGGAAACAGCCCAGACCACCAGCUAAGGUCCCAAAAUAUAUGUUAAGUGGAAAAGGAUGUGGCGUU
Molecule: ribosomal RNA, 255 nt
Filed under: Staphylococcus hyicus
Lineage: Bacteria; Bacillati; Bacillota; Bacilli; Caryophanales; Staphylococcaceae
Description: partial 23S ribosomal RNA
Rfam family: Bacterial large subunit ribosomal RNA
Source: RNAcentral